This is a long non-coding RNA of Thalassophryne amazonica, 163 nucleotides long. RefSeq lists it as uncharacterized. The transcript has 3 exons. NCBI's taxonomy places the organism in Eukaryota, Metazoa, Chordata, Actinopteri, Batrachoidiformes, Batrachoididae. The record is from RefSeq and is a predicted model, not a curated record.
ACGCUGUUCAGAUGCCCACAAUGCGUGUAAAAUACGCGCGUCUGUGCACUUCACGACACGCAUAAAAAACGGUGUUUGUGCGGUAUGAUAAUCAUCUCCAGCCUCCUUUUCUCUCAGCCAUUGAACUUGAAGUGUUUGUGUCCAAUGAGUGAUCCACACAAUC